GACGAACCGUGCGAACGUUGUUCGGAAUCACUGGGCUUAAAGGGCGCGUAGGCGGGCUGCCAAGUCCGGGGUGAAAUCGUUCGGCCCAACCGGACAAGUGCCUUGGAUACUGGCGGUCUUGAGCGAGGUAGGGGCAGCUGGAACUUCCGGUGGAGCGGUGAAAUGCGUUGAUAUCGGAAGGAACGCCGGUGGCGAAAGCGAGCUGCUGGACCUUUUCUGACGCUGAGGCGCGAAAGCCAGGGGAGCAAACGGG
RNAcentral lists this ribosomal RNA (253 nucleotides) under uncultured bacterium. RNAcentral's name for it is "partial 16S ribosomal RNA". It matches the Rfam family "Bacterial small subunit ribosomal RNA", at positions 524 to 776 of the family's 1533-position model. The record is from RNAcentral.